CGGCAGGAGUCCAUGCCUCUGUUCAUCGUGGAAUUGGGUGGACAGUUAAAUGCUUUCUGGAAUUCUUCAAAGUUACUAAUUGCACCAUUGACCCUGAAAAAAGGUAUGUCAAAGCAUAUGUCAUACAAUUCUUGCACAUCAACAGGUUCUGUAUAAAACUAUAGCAGAAUAUUGCUAAAAAGAAUGUUGCCAUUCUUUUAAUCUAUUUACAGGGAGACAACUAAAGCCCAAAAUGAUUAAGUAAAUUUCCAAAAAAAAACGAACAGACUAGAGCCAGCAUCUCCUGAAUGCCAAGCAAAUGCCCCAUUACUCUUCCAACAGUCUUCAAAUUCUUAUAAAACUGUAUUGUCACCAAUAUUAGUUUUUCUAACUUUUUAAAAACUUUAUGGAAAAUAUAACUGACAUAAAGUAUACAAAAUAUUACUUGUAGAACUUGACAGUUUUUUGUGUGUAUGUGCCCGUAUUACUACCUGCCAGAUCAAGACAUUCCAGCACCCAGUAGGCUCCCGCCUGUUCCAUACCAACAGCGUCUCCAAAGAUAACUACUAUUCUGACUUCUAUUGCCAUAGCUUUGCCUUUGAAGAUUUUGAACUUCAUGUGAAUGAAAUCCACGAAAAUUUCUGUCAACCUAUAGGACCGAGUACAGGGUGACUACAGAAAAUUUCUGUCAACCUAUAGGACCGAGUACAGGGUCUUCUCAUUUAUUGAUUGCUGUACUAAGUAUUUGAAACUGACACUAGCAGCAGGGAUAUUCAGCCCAGUCCUGGGAGCAUGGUCCAAGGACCACAUUUCAAGAAUCACAGCACUAGAGCACAUUCCAGGAGCAAAGGUCAUGGUCACAGGUAUGCAUGGACAUCUGCAGCUUUUUGAGAUAUUGUCAAAUUGCCCUGCAAAGUGGAUGAGCCAAUCUAUCUUGCCACCAGCAAUGAGUGUGUGUCCUUAUUGCCAAGGUUGGAUGCUGUCAGACUUUUUAUUUGUGCCAAACAGAUCUUAAUAA
Molecule: long non-coding RNA, 997 nt
Organism: Chlorocebus sabaeus (green monkey)
Lineage: Eukaryota; Metazoa; Chordata; Mammalia; Primates; Cercopithecidae
Source: RefSeq, a predicted model, not a curated record